GGAAGUUGACGGGGAGCACUACAACGGGUGGAGCCUGCGGUUAAUUGGACUCAACGCCGGAAAGCUCACCGGGGCGACAGCAAUAUGUAGGUCAAGCUAAAGACUUUACCAGAAUCGCUGAGAGGAGGUGCAUGGCCGUCGUCAGUUCGUACUGUGAAGCAUCCUGUUAAGUCAGGCAACGAGCGAGACCCGUGCCCACUGUUGCCAGCAUGUCCUUCGGGAUGAUGGGUACUCUGUGGGGACCGCCGAUGCUAAAUCGGAGGAAGGUGCGGGCUACGGUAGGUCAGUAUGCCCCGAAUCUCCCGGGCUACACGCGGGCUACAAUGACUGGGACAAUGGGCUCCUACCCCGAAAGGGGAUGGUAAUCUCAUAAACCCAGCCUUAGUUCGGAUCGAGGGCUGUAACCCGCCCUCGUGAAGCUGGAAUCCGUAGUAAUCGCGUUUCAACAUAGCGCGGUGAAUACGUCCCUGCUCCUU
RNAcentral lists this ribosomal RNA (476 nucleotides) under uncultured Methanomethylovorans sp. RNAcentral describes it as "bacterial SSU rRNA". It matches the Rfam family "Archaeal small subunit ribosomal RNA", at positions 861 to 1338 of the family's 1478-position model. Lineage: Archaea; Methanobacteriati; Methanobacteriota; Methanomicrobia; Methanosarcinales; Methanosarcinaceae. The record is from RNAcentral.